GACGAACGCUGGCGGCGUGCCUAAUACAUGCAAGUAGAACGCUGAAGAGAGGAGCUUGCUCUUCUUGGAUGAGUUGCGAACGGGUGAGUAACGCGUAGGUAACCUGCCUUGUAGCGGGGGAUAACUAUUGGAAACGAUAGCUAAUACCGCAUAACAAUGGAUGACACAUGUCAUUUAUUUGAAAGGGGCAAUUGCUCCACUACAAGAUGGACCUGCGUUGUAUUAGCUAGUAGGUGAGGUAACGGCUCACCUAGGCGACGAUACAUAGCCGACCUGAGAGGGUGAUCGGCCACACUGGGACUGAGACACGGCCCAGACUCCUACGGGAGGCAGCAGUAGGGAAUCUUCGGCAAUGGGGGCAACCCUGACCGAGCAACGCCGCGUGAGUGAAGAAGGUUUUCGGAUCGUAAAGCUCUGUUGUAAGUCAAGAACGAGUGUGAGAGCGGAAAGUUCACACUGUGACGGUAGCUUACCAGAAAGGGGCGGCUAACUACGUGCCAGCAGCCGCGGUAAUACGUAGGUCCCGAGCGUUGUCCGGAUUUAUUGGGCGUAAAGCGAGCGCAGGCGGUUUGAUAAGUCUGAAGUUAAAGGCUGUGGCUCAACCAUAGUUCGCUUUGGAAACUGUCAAACUUGAGUGCAGAAGGGGAGAGUGGAAUUCCAUGUGUAGCGGUGAAAUGCGUAGAUAUAUGGAGGAACACCGGUGGCGAAAGCGGCUCUCUGGUCUGUAACUGACGCUGAGGCUCGAAAGCGUGGGGAGCGAACAGG
RNAcentral lists this ribosomal RNA (765 nucleotides) under uncultured Streptococcus sp. RNAcentral describes it as "bacterial SSU rRNA". It matches the Rfam family "Bacterial small subunit ribosomal RNA", at positions 28 to 776 of the family's 1533-position model. Lineage: Bacteria; Bacillati; Bacillota; Bacilli; Lactobacillales; Streptococcaceae. The record is from RNAcentral.